Molecule: ribosomal RNA, 977 nt
Filed under: Trichomonas vaginalis G3
Lineage: Eukaryota; Parabasalia; Trichomonadida; Trichomonadidae
Description: 16S ribosomal RNA
Rfam family: Eukaryotic small subunit ribosomal RNA
Source: RNAcentral
GAACAAAUCAGGACGCUUAGAGUAUGGCCACAUGAAUGACUCAGCGCAGUAUGAAGUCUUUGUUUCUUCCGAAAACAAGCUCAAUGAGAGCCAUCGGGGGUAGAUCUAUCUCAUGACGAGUGGUGGAAUACUUUGACUCAUGAGAGAGAAGCUGAGGCGAAGGCGUCUACCUAGAGGGUUUCUGUCGAUCAAGGGCGAGAGUAGGAGUAUCCAACAGGAUUAGAGACCCUGGUAGUUCCUACCUUAAACGAUGCCGACAGGAGUUUGUCAUUUGUUAAUGGCAGAAUCUUUGGAGAAAUCAUAGUUCUUGGGCUCUGGGGGAACUACGACCGCAAGGCUGAAACUUGAAGGAAUUGACGGAAGGGCACACCAGGGGUGGAGCCUGUGGCUUAAUUUGAAUCAACACGGGGAAACUUACCAGGACCAGAUGUUUUUUAUGACUGACAGGCUUCGGGUCUUUCAGGAUAUUGUUUUUGGUGGUGCAUGGCCGUUGGUGGUGCGUGGGUUGACCUGUCUAGCGUUGAUUCAGCUAACGAGCGAGAUUAUCGCCAAUUAUUUACUUUGCCGAAGUCCUUCGGUUAAAGUUCUAAUUGGGACUCCCUGCGAUUUUAGCAGGUGGAAGAGGGUAGCAAUAACAGGUCCGUGAUGCCCUUUAGAUGCUCUGGGCUGCACGCGUGCUACAAUGUUAGGAUCAAUAGGACUGCGAGCCUGAGAGGGUGCGCUACUCUUAUAAUCCCUAACGUAGUUGGGAUUGACGUUUGUAAUCAGCGUCAUGAACCAGGAAUCCCUUGUAAAUGUGUGUCAACAACGCACGUUGAAUACGUCCCUGCCCUUUGUACACACCGCCCGUCGCUCCUACCGAUUGGAUGACUCGGUGAAAUCACCGGAUGCUUACGAGCAGAAAGUGAUUAAAUCACGUUAUCUAGAGGAAGGAGAAGUCGUAACAAGGUAACGGUAGGUGAACCUGCCGUUGGAUC